This 432-nucleotide ribosomal RNA is filed under the name uncultured eukaryote. RNAcentral's name for it is "SSU rRNA". It matches the Rfam family "Eukaryotic small subunit ribosomal RNA", at positions 592 to 1018 of the family's 1831-position model. The record is from RNAcentral.
CAAUAGCGUAUAUUAAAGUUGUUGCGGUUAAAAGCUCGUAGUUGGAUUUCUGCUGAGGACGACCGGUCCGCCCUCCGGGUGAGCAUCUGGUUCGGCCUUGGCAUCUUCUUGGUGAACGUAUCUGCACUUGACUGUGUGGUGCGGUACCCAGGACUUUUACUUUGAGGAAAUUAGAGUGUUUCAAGCAGGCAUACGCCUUGAAUACAUUAGCAUGGAAUAAUAAGAUAGGACCUCGGUUCUAUUUCGUUGGUUUCUAGAGCUGAGGUAAUGAUUAAUAGGGAUAGUUGGGGCAUUCGUAUUUAACUGUCAGAGGUGAAAUUCUUGGAUUUGUUAAAGACUAACUUAUGCGAAAGACAUUUGUCCAAGGAAUGUUUUCUAUUAAAUUCAAAGAACGAAAAGUUAAGGGGAAGUCAAAGAACGAUCAGAUACCGU